This 486-nucleotide long non-coding RNA is filed under the name Homo sapiens (human). RNAcentral's name for it is "HSALNT0132110". Lineage: Eukaryota; Metazoa; Chordata; Mammalia; Primates; Hominidae. The record is from RNAcentral.
AGGCUCUGAAGUUGAGGAUGAGUCUGGAGAGCAGUUCUGGGGUCUCUGCAGCUUUUCCAGGAGGGCUGUCUGCCCGGGUGAAGACACGCUGUCUCAGCUGUUGUUUUAGGACCAUGGGCCCUGGGGCCCAGGACAGCAGGAAGGCGGGUCCCAGUCUCCUUCUGAUGGCUCCAUCUGCACUGGAAACAGAAUUUUAACACUGGCCUAAAGGAUGGUGAGAAAUGAACUCCUGGUUGCCGACCAGACUUCCCCUUCUCAUCCCGACGACGCGGGACAUAGGGUAGACGGUCCCAAUGCCGACGAGCAGUAGGAGGACCAGCACAGGAGCUUGCAAGCAAGAGCCCAGAGCAAGAGCCCCUCUCCCCUGGUGUCCAAGGAUGGUUCUGCUGACCCAAGGGAGGAACACAAGAAGGGAAGCUUGAGAUGCUACAAACAACAAAAUGGCACCCUGUGUGCAAAUCCUGGUUGCUGCGAUCCUGGCAGGCC